CGCCUCCCUUCACCCGGACUCCGCCAUUGAAAGCUUUUCACUCAGUGAGAGGGAGACCUUUGUUUCAAAGAGAUAGAAAUGCAAAUAUUAGUGCCCAGGCAAAUACAUGAAGGGAUCAGUUUCAAGCUGAUGAUUCCACCAGCCAAAUUUAAAGUGCAGGUAUCUCCUUCUAACUGACAGCAAGUAUGACUUUACUCACAGUGAGCAGAGAUACAGACAGAACAUCAUUUCCACCAUCAACACGAACAGAAAUAGUCAGGGUCAAAUUGAAGUCAUGGCUGAAAAAAUUCAAUAGUCAAACACUCAGAGGGGAGCUGCAUUGGGUAGACGGUUGGAAUAAUCACAAUACACUCCUAUUCAGUACCUCUGAAUGGCAGGUCCACCAAUUUUAGUCCAAACUCACAGCCAUUAUCAGAUUGAAGUGUACUCCAUGCAAGUCACAAGAGUGGAACAUUGGCAGCAAUUCAAAUAGCAGGGAAUAAAGAUGAAUGAAAUUUA
Long non-coding RNA from Carcharodon carcharias (great white shark), 498 nucleotides. RefSeq lists it as uncharacterized. Lineage: Eukaryota; Metazoa; Chordata; Chondrichthyes; Lamniformes; Lamnidae. The record is from RefSeq and is a predicted model, not a curated record. The transcript is spliced from 2 exons.